AACGCGAAGAACCUUACCAGCUCUUGACAUGGGACGUUUGACCUCGGGAAAUCGGGGUCUUCAGUUCGGCUGGCGUCCACACAGGUGCUGCAUGGCUGUCGUCAGCUCGUGUCGUGAGAUGUUGGGUUAAGUCCCGCAACGAGCGCAACCCUCACCUUCAGUUGCCAUCAGGUUAUGCUGGGCACUCUGAAGGAACUGCCGGUGACAAGCCGGAGGAAGGCGGGGAUGACGUCAAGUCCUCAUGGCCUUUAUGUCCAGGGCUACACACGUGUUACAAUGCGCGCCACAAAGCGUUGCAAACCCGCGAGGGGGAGCUAAUCGCAAAAAAGCGCGCUCAGUCCGGAUUGCAGUCUGCAACUCGACUGCAUGAAGCUGGAAUCGCUAGUAAUGGCGCAUCAGAACGGCGCCGUGAAUACGUUCCCGGGCCUUGUACACACCGCUAGUC
This 445-nucleotide ribosomal RNA is filed under the name uncultured bacterium. RNAcentral describes it as "bacterial SSU rRNA". It matches the Rfam family "Bacterial small subunit ribosomal RNA", at positions 958 to 1398 of the family's 1533-position model. The record is from RNAcentral.